This 563-nucleotide ribosomal RNA is filed under the name Coniothyrium sp. 8Cl93. RNAcentral's name for it is "eukaryotic LSU rRNA". It matches the Rfam family "Eukaryotic large subunit ribosomal RNA", at positions 75 to 651 of the family's 3401-position model. The record is from RNAcentral. Lineage: Eukaryota; Fungi; Ascomycota; Dothideomycetes; Pleosporales; Coniothyriaceae.
UUGCCCUAGUAACGGCGAGUGAAGCGGCAACAGCUCAAAUUUGAAAUCUGGCCCUCUUUGGGGGUCCGAGUUGUAAUUUGCAGAGGAUGCUUUGGUAUCGGCGGCGGUCUAAGUUCCUUGGAACAGGACAUCGCANAGGGUGAGAAUCCCGUACGUGGGCGCCUGCCUUUACCGUGUAAAGCUCCUUCGACGAGUCGAGUUGUUUGGGAAUGCAGCUCUAAAUGGGAGGUAAAUUUCUUCUAAAGCUAAAUACCGGCCAGAGACCGAUAGCGCACAAGUAGAGUGAUCGAAAGAUGAAAAGUACUUUGGAAAGAGAGUCAAAUAGCACGUGAAAUUGUUGAAAGGGAAGCGCUUGCANCCANACUUGCCCGCAGUUGCUCACCUAGGCUUUUGCCUGGGGCAUUCUUCUGCGGGCAGGCCAGCAUCAGUUUGGGCGGUUGGAUAAAGGCCUCUGUCAUGUACCACCCUUCGGGGUGGCCUUAUAGGGGAGGCGCAAUGCAACCAGCCCGGACUGAGGUCCGCGCAUCUGCUAGGAUGCUGGCGUAAUGGCUGUAANCGNCCCG